This 998-nucleotide ribosomal RNA is filed under the name uncultured bacterium. RNAcentral describes it as "bacterial SSU rRNA". It matches the Rfam family "Bacterial small subunit ribosomal RNA", at positions 505 to 1502 of the family's 1533-position model. The record is from RNAcentral.
GUGCCAGCAGCCGCGGUAAUACGGAGGGUCCGAGCGUUAAUCGGAAUUACUGGGCGUAAAGCGCGCGUAGGCGGUUAGAUCAGUCGGGUGUGAAAGCCCCGGGCUCAACCUGGGAAUUGCAUUCGAUACUGUCUGACUGGAGUAUGGGAGAGGGUAGUGGAAUUCCACGUGUAGCGGUGAAAUGCGUAGAUAUGUGGAGGAACACCAGUGGCGAAGGCGGCUGCCUGGCCCAAUACUGGCGCUGAGGUGCGAAAGCGUGGGGAGCGAACAGGAUUAGAUACCCUGGUAGUACACGCCGUAAACGAUGUCAACUAGCCGUUGGAGGGCUUGACCCUUUAGUGGCGCAGCUAACGCGAUAAGUUGACCGCCUGGGGAGUACGGCCGCAAGGUUAAAACUCAAAUGAAUUGACGGGGGCCCGCACAAGCGGUGGAGCAUGUGGUUUAAUUCGAUGCAACGCGAAGAACCUUACCAGGUCUUGACAUCCUCGGAACUUUCCAGAGAUGGAUCGGUGCCUUCGGGAGCCGAGUGACAGGUGCUGCAUGGCUGUCGCCAGCUCGUGUCGUGAGAUGUUGGGUUAAGUCCCGUAACGAGCGCAACCCUUGUCCUUAGUUGCCAGCGCGUAAUGGCGGGAACUCUAGGGAAACUGCCGGUGACAAACCGGAGGAAGGUGGGGACGACGUCAAGUCAUCAUGGCCCUUACGACCUGGGCUACACACGUGCUACAAUGGCCGGUACAGAGAGUUGCGAAGCGGCGACGUGGAGCUAAUCUCGUAAAACCGGUCGUAGUCCGGAUUGGAGUCUGCAACUCGACUCCAUGAAGUCGGAAUCGCUAGUAAUCGCGAAUCAGAAUGUCGCGGUGAAUACGUUCCCGGGCCUUGUACACACCGCCCGUCACACCAUGGGAGUGGGUUGCACCAGAAGUAGCUAGUCUAACCUUCGGGAGGGCGGUUACCACGGUGUGAUUCAUGACUGGGGUGAAGUCGUAACAAGGUAACCG